CAGCAGCACGGGAAUACGGAGGGUGCAAGCGUUAAUCGGAAUUACUGGGCGUAAAGCGCACGCAGGCGGUCUGUCAAGUCGGAUGUGAAAUCCCCGGGCUCAACCUGGGAACUGCAUCCGAAACUGGCAGGCUAGAGUCUUGUAGAGGGGGGUAGAAUUCCAGGUGUAGCGGUGAAAUGCGUAGAGAUCUGGAGGAAUACCGGUGGCGAAGGCGGCCCCCUGGACAAAGACUGACGCUCAGGUGCGAAAGCGUGGGGAGCAAACAGGAUUAGAUACCCCUGUAGUCCCUGUCUCUUAUACA
Molecule: ribosomal RNA, 301 nt
Filed under: uncultured bacterium
Lineage: Bacteria
Description: partial 16S ribosomal RNA
Rfam family: Bacterial small subunit ribosomal RNA
Source: RNAcentral